CCAGGGCUGCGGGCGGCCGUGGAGCUGACGGAGUCCGGAGGGGGCACCGUGACACCCGGGGGGUCCCUCACCCUCCGCUGCAAGGCCUCCGGCUUCACCUUCAGCAACUUCUACAUGCAAUGGGUGCGACAGGCACCUGGGAAGGGGCUGGAGUUCCUCGCGGGUAUUAGCUACAAUGGUGGUUGGACAGGCUACGCGCCGUCGGUGAAGGGUCGCUUCACCAUCUCCAGGGACAACUCCCAGAGCACGGUCACGCUGCAGAUGAACAGCCUCAAGGAGGACGACACGGCCACCUACUACUGCACCAAAGCUUCUUAUGGUGGUUAUUGUGGUGCUCCUUAUGCUGGUGGUGGCCCCGACCUCAUGUCCCCACAUCCCAGCCCUGGGUCACAGAAUCAGAACCGUCCGGGUUGA
Molecule: non-coding RNA, 414 nt
Organism: Calidris pugnax (ruff)
Lineage: Eukaryota; Metazoa; Chordata; Aves; Charadriiformes; Scolopacidae
Source: the annotation of a RefSeq genome assembly